This 246-nucleotide ribosomal RNA is filed under the name uncultured bacterium. RNAcentral's name for it is "partial small subunit ribosomal RNA". It matches the Rfam family "Bacterial small subunit ribosomal RNA", at positions 26 to 285 of the family's 1533-position model. The record is from RNAcentral.
AGAAUCAACGCUGGCGGCGUGCCUAACACAUGCAAGUCGCAACGAGAAAGGGGAGCAAUCCCUGAGUAAAGUGGCGCACGGGUGAGUAACACGUGAAUGAUCUACCUCCGAGUGGGGAAUAACUGAGAGAAAUCUUAGCUAAUACCGCAUAACACUUACGAGUCAAAGCAGCAAUGCGCUUGGAGAGGAGUUCGCGGCCGAUUAGCUAGUUGGCGGGGUAAUGGCCCACCAAGGCGAUGAUCGGUA